AGCCCGAGUAAACGGCGGCCGUAACUAUAACGGUCCUAAGGUAGCGAAAUUCCUUGUCGGUUAAAUACCGACCUGCAUGAAUGGCGUAACGAGAUGGGAGCUGUCUCAACCAGAGAUUCAGUGAAAUUGUAGUGGAGGUGAAAAUUCCUCCUACCCGCGGCAAGACGGAAAGACCCCGUGGA
RNAcentral lists this ribosomal RNA (182 nucleotides) under Helicobacter pylori. RNAcentral describes it as "partial 23S ribosomal RNA". It matches the Rfam family "Bacterial large subunit ribosomal RNA", at positions 1916 to 2097 of the family's 2925-position model. The record is from RNAcentral. Lineage: Bacteria; Pseudomonadati; Campylobacterota; Epsilonproteobacteria; Campylobacterales; Helicobacteraceae.